Molecule: non-coding RNA, 127 nt
Filed under: unclassified sequences
Description: Bacteriophage Diversity-Generating Retroelement RNA
Rfam family: Bacteriophage Diversity-Generating Retroelement RNA
Source: Rfam by way of RNAcentral
GCUCUGCCAACGCUACGGCUUGGCAGGCAGACCUCUUUAACGUGGUCAGCCAGUUUUGUCCUGCUUCGGCAAAUACGUUUAGCGGUUCGGUAGAGCGCCUAGUAAGUUAUUGAAAAGCGCAGCCGAC